RNAcentral lists this ribosomal RNA (421 nucleotides) under uncultured bacterium. Its description in RNAcentral is "bacterial SSU rRNA". It matches the Rfam family "Bacterial small subunit ribosomal RNA", at positions 355 to 773 of the family's 1533-position model. The record is from RNAcentral.
UAGGGAAUAUUGGACAAUGGGGGCAACCCUGAUCCAGCCAUGCCGCGUGAAGGAUUAAGGCCCUCUGGGUUGUAAACUUCUUUUAUAGGGGAAGAAAUGUGACGGUUCUCCGUCACUUGACGGUACCCUGGGAAUAAGCACCGGCUAACUCCGUGCCAGCAGCCGCGGUAAUACGUAGGGACCAAGCGCUGUUCGGAUUUACUGGGCGUAAAGGGCGCGUAGGCGGCAAUUCAAGUCAGCUGUGAAAUCUCCGGGCUUAACCCAGAACAGCCAGCUGUUACUGCUUUGCUAGAGUGCGGAAGGGGCAAUCGGAAUUCUUGGUGUAGCGGUAAAAUGCGUAAAUAUCAAGAGGAACACCUGAGGUGAAGACGGGUUGCUGGGCCGACACUGACGCUGAGGCGCGAAAGCCAGGGGAGCAAAC